Molecule: long non-coding RNA, 881 nt
Organism: Girardinichthys multiradiatus
Lineage: Eukaryota; Metazoa; Chordata; Actinopteri; Cyprinodontiformes; Goodeidae
Exons: 2
Source: RefSeq, a predicted model, not a curated record
GCCAUCUCCACACUUGUCCCUGUAUUUAAGCUCUCCGGUUUUCACUGCUCUUCACUGUGUCUUUCCGUUUCUAUGCCCGUUACACUUCCUGUUUUGUGCUGAAUGUGACUUUGCCUGUGUUCCCUGCUCUGAUAACCUUGUGCCAGCCAUGUUGCGCUCAGACUGCCGGUGUUCUGCGUCCCCUGCUGAUCCAUUGAUUUGUCUUUGAUGAAGCUGAUUCUGGAGGAGCAUGUGAUAAUGCUCCAUAUGUUUUUGCAGAAGAACUUCACAUGUCCAUCUGAAUGACAUCAGUAUUACAGGGUAUCUAAAGAAGCCUCUGACUGAAAACACUGUUGUCCUGACAGUCUCAUGAUCUCAGGGUUAUUCAUUAUGUUCUUCAUUUUUUGAAGAAUCCUUCUUUGCAUAAUCAUCAAUAGUGACUCAAGAACAUAUUAGAGAAAAGUCCCAGCUUUUAAUCAUCUUGCUGAGCUUUUUUAAGUCCCUGGCUCUAAAUGCUGCUACCUGAACAGAAGAGAUCCCACUCUCCAUAACAAACUUUGCAAACUUGCUCCAAACACUUACCGGACCGGAGGUUCCUCAAGAAGUAAAGUCUGCUCUGUUUCUACUUGUAGAAAGCUUUACUGUUAAGCCUCUGGUCCAGUCUGUUGUCCAGGUGAACAGCAAGAUAUUUAUGUAUAGUCCCCAACCAUCUCUGCUUUUUCACCCAAGAUGGAAACAAUGUUUGACAUUUUCCAGCUUUCUGUUCUCAGCCUCUUGUCCAUCUCUGAUGCACCCGACGGCUGCGGAGUCAUCCGAGUAUUUUUGCAGAUGACAAGACUCUCUUGUACUGGAGAUCUGAGGUGUACAGAGUUAAAAGGAAUAAAAACUGUGCUCGCUCUGUC